AUUAAUAUGAAUAGAUUCAAUGAAGUGCUAUAAUAUUACACUUUGUCAGAGACUUGCACAUUUUCCAAAGCCUCAUUUCUUAUGCCGAAAACAGAGAGUCUCCCAAUGAAAAU
This 113-nucleotide small nucleolar RNA is filed under the name Drosophila erecta. RNAcentral describes it as "snoRNA:GG26047". Lineage: Eukaryota; Metazoa; Arthropoda; Insecta; Diptera; Drosophilidae. The record is from RNAcentral.